AUGUGAAACCAAAGGCCCCUAAUGCUAUGACCAAAGUCUGAAGCUUUCUAUGAGAUGCCAGACACUCAAUAGUGCACUUUUUCUGAAAAUAUAUAAGA
RNAcentral lists this small nucleolar RNA (98 nucleotides) under Saimiri boliviensis boliviensis (Bolivian squirrel monkey). Its description in RNAcentral is "Small nucleolar RNA SNORA25 (ENSSBOG00000018510.1)". Lineage: Eukaryota; Metazoa; Chordata; Mammalia; Primates; Cebidae. The record is from RNAcentral.